Molecule: transfer RNA, 67 nt
Filed under: Marmota monax (woodchuck)
Lineage: Eukaryota; Metazoa; Chordata; Mammalia; Rodentia; Sciuridae
Description: tRNA.Ala
Source: RNAcentral
GUGGUGGCUCAGUGGUAGAGUACUUGCCUCGCAUGUUGAGGCACUGGGUUCAAUUCUCAGUACCACA